Molecule: ribosomal RNA, 607 nt
Filed under: Paecilomyces sp. AK18/95
Lineage: Eukaryota; Fungi; Ascomycota; Eurotiomycetes; Eurotiales; Thermoascaceae
Description: eukaryotic LSU rRNA
Rfam family: Eukaryotic large subunit ribosomal RNA
Source: RNAcentral
UGCAUAUCCAAUAAGCGGAGGAAAAGAAACCAACCGGGAUUGCCUCAGUAACGGCGAGUGAAGCGGCAAGAGCUCAAAUUUGAAAUCUGGCCCCUUGGGGGUCCGAGUUGUAAUUUGCAGAGGAUGCUUCGGGUGCGGUCCCCGUCUAAGUGCCCUGGAACGGGCCGUCAUAGAGGGUGAGAAUCCCGUCUGGGAUGGGCGGCCGCGCCCGUGUGAAGCUCCUUCGACGAGUCGAGUUGUUUGGGAAUGCAGCUCUAAGUGGGUGGUAAAUUUCAUCUAAAGCUAAAUACUGGCCGGAGACCGAUAGCGCACAAGUAGAGUGAUCGAAAGAUGAAAAGCACUUUGAAAAGAGAGUUAAACAGCACGUGAAAUUGUUGAAAGGGAAGCGUUGUCCACCAGACUCGCCCGGGGGGGCUCAGCCGGCACUUGUGCCGGUGUACUCCUCCCCGGGCGGGCCAGCAUCGGUUUGGGCGGCUGGUGAAAGGCCCCGGGAAUGUAACACCCUCCGGGGUGCCUUAUAGCCCGGGGUGUCAUGCGGCCAGCCUGGACCGAGGCCCGCGCUUCGGCGAGGAUGCUGGCGUAAUGGUGGUCAACGGCCCGUCUUGAA